UGAUCCUGGCUCAGGAUGAACGCUAGCGGCAGGCUUAACACAUGCAAGUCGAGGGGUAUAAGUCUUCGGAUUUAGAGACCGGCGCACGGGUGCGUAACGCGUAUGCAAUCUACCUUUUACAGAGGGAUAGCCCAGAGAAAUUUGGAUUAAUACCUCAUAGCAUAGCAGCUUCGCAUGAAGCCACUAUUAAAGUCACAACGGUAAAAGAUGAGCAUGCGUCCCAUUAGCUAGUUGGUAAGGUAACGGCUUACCAAGGCUACGAUGGGUAGGGGUCCUGAGAGGGAGAUCCCCCACACUGGUACUGAGACACGGACCAGACUCCUACGGGAGGCAGCAGUGAGGAAUAUUGGACAAUGGGCGCAAGCCUGAUCCAGCCAUGCCGCGUGCAGGAUGACGGUCCUAUGGAUUGUAAACUGCUUUUAUACGAGAAGAAACACUCCUUCGUGAAGGAGCUUGACGGUAUCGUAAGAAUA
RNAcentral lists this ribosomal RNA (473 nucleotides) under Flavobacterium sp. DB2.1-2. RNAcentral describes it as "bacterial SSU rRNA". It matches the Rfam family "Bacterial small subunit ribosomal RNA", at positions 14 to 488 of the family's 1533-position model. Lineage: Bacteria; Pseudomonadati; Bacteroidota; Flavobacteriia; Flavobacteriales; Flavobacteriaceae. The record is from RNAcentral.